AACGAACGCUGGCGGCAUGCCUAAUACAUGCAAGUCGAACGAGAUCUUCGGAUCUAGUGGCGCCCGGGUGCGUAACGCGUGGGAAUCUGCCCUUGGGUUCGGAAUAACUUCUGGAAACGGAAGCUAAUACCGGAUGAUGACGUAAGUCCAAAGAUUUAUCGCCCCAGGAUGAGCCCGCGUAGGAUUAGCUAGUUGGUGGGGUAAAGGCCCACCAAGGCGACGAUCCUUAGCUGGUCUGAGAGGAUGAUCAGCCACACUGGGACUGAGACACGGCCCAGACUCCUACGGGAGGCAGCAGUAGGGAAUAUUGGACAAUGGGCGAAAGCCUGAUCCAGCAAUGCCGCGUGAGUGAUGAAGGCCUUAGGGUUGUAAAGCUCUUUUACCCGGGAUGAUAAUGACAGUACCGGGAGAAUAAGCUCCGGCUAACUCCGUG
This 433-nucleotide ribosomal RNA is filed under the name uncultured bacterium. Its description in RNAcentral is "partial 16S ribosomal RNA". It matches the Rfam family "Bacterial small subunit ribosomal RNA", at positions 29 to 507 of the family's 1533-position model. The record is from RNAcentral.